This 471-nucleotide ribosomal RNA is filed under the name Alpioniscus balthasari. RNAcentral describes it as "partial 16S ribosomal RNA". It matches the Rfam family "Bacterial large subunit ribosomal RNA", at positions 1929 to 2620 of the family's 2925-position model. The record is from RNAcentral. Lineage: Eukaryota; Metazoa; Arthropoda; Malacostraca; Isopoda; Trichoniscidae.
GGCCGCAGUAAACUGACUGUGCUAAGGUAGCAAAAUCAUUAGUCUUUUUAUUGAAGACUUGUAUAAAAGAUGUGACAAAGAAAAUCCUGUCUUAAUAAAAGCAGUGUAAUUUUAUAUUAAAGUAAAAAAGCUUUAAAAUUUUAAUAGGACGAUAAGACCCUAAAAUCUACUAACUAAUAGGAUAAAAGCUUAAGGAAGAAAAAUAAAAAGAAAGAGAAAGUUAGUUUACUGGGGCGGUAAUUAUAAUUAUAAACUAUAAGCUUAUUAACAUUUUGUAUGGUUAAUUUAUAUCAACCUUUAUGAAUAAAAUAAGAUACUUUAGGGAUAACAGCAUAAUAUAUUUUAAGAGUCCUUAUCACCAAAUAUGUUUAUGACCUCGAUGUUGAAUUGAGUUUUCUUUUCCUAGAAGAUUAGGUUAAUAGUAAGUCUGUUCGACUUUUAAUAUCUCACAUGAUUUGAGUUCAAACCGGC